AAUAAUAGUGGUAAUAGACUAAAUUAUUUUAAAAAAUGGUUAAGGCAUUUUUUGGAAUUUAAUACGACACUUCAUUUAUAAUUAUAUAAAGAAGAAACAAAUGAAAAUUUUGGGUAACUCAGUAUCUAACUCAAUUCAAUCAAUAAAUUUGUAGUUUGAUCCAAACCAACUCAAUCAUGUCGUGAGUGAUUAUUUUAUCUCACUCAAAUCAGUGUACCAUAUAUGAGUUAGAUCUUAGUUUUGUUUAAAUCCAACACAAACUGAC
RNAcentral lists this long non-coding RNA (265 nucleotides) under Lathyrus oleraceus (garden pea). Its description in RNAcentral is "Pisum sativum (pea) long non-coding RNA (PSAT_LNC019347)". Lineage: Eukaryota; Viridiplantae; Streptophyta; Magnoliopsida; Fabales; Fabaceae. The record is from RNAcentral.